AAAGCUGUCAGCAUAGAUGAAGAUUUGCCAAGGGAUAGUCAAGAUAUUAGAUUACGAAUGGAUGGUUUAUUUGAGAAUAAGGAACAAGCAAUGCACUUUACAAAAGAGUUCAUAGCAUUAUAUACAAAUGGACCUGCUGGUGGGGGCGGUAUCAGGUCUAAUUCAUACCAUUUACUGUGACCUAUAUCAGAAAAUUGUUGAAAUG
This 205-nucleotide unclassified non-coding RNA is filed under the name Hevea brasiliensis (rubber tree). The record is from RNAcentral. Lineage: Eukaryota; Viridiplantae; Streptophyta; Magnoliopsida; Malpighiales; Euphorbiaceae.